UGCUGGACGCGCCCCAGGCGCACCCAGAAACCCUUUGUGAACUUAUACCUAUUGUUGCCUCGGCGCUAGCUGGUCCUCCGGGGCCCCCUGGAGACAGGGAGCGGCGCGCCGGUGGCCCACUCAACUCUGUUUCUUAGUGAAUCUCUGAGUAAAAAAACAAAUGAAUCAAAACUUUCAACAACGGAUCUCUUGGUUCUGGCAUCGAUGAAGAACGCAGCGAAAUGCGAUAAGUAAUGUGAAUUGCAGAAUUCAGUGAAUCAUCGAAUCUUUGAACGCACAUUGCGCCCUCUGGUAUUCCGGAGGGCAUGCCUGUUCGAGCGUCAUUUCAACCCUCAAGCCUGGCUUGGUGUUGGGGCACUGCCUGUAAAAGGGCAGGCCCUGAAAUAUAGUGGCGAGCUCGCCAGGACUCCGAGCGUAGUAGUUAUAUCUCGUUCUGGAAGGCCUGGCGGUGCCCUGCCGUUAAACCCCAACUUUUGAAAAUUUGACCUCGGAUCAGGUAGGAAUACCCGCUGAACUUAA
This 519-nucleotide small RNA is filed under the name Diaporthe sp. M84. RNAcentral describes it as "eukaryotic LSU rRNA". The stretch from base 170 to 323 matches the Rfam family "5.8S ribosomal RNA". Lineage: Eukaryota; Fungi; Ascomycota; Sordariomycetes; Diaporthales; Diaporthaceae. The record is from RNAcentral.